CGGGAAGGAGACUGAUUCUGAGAUCAGCGCACAGGGCUGUGAUUGGGAGGGGCAGUUGGGAUCAGGAUUGGGGAGCAGGAUUGGGCAGAAGGAGAAGCUGAGCAGAGAUGCACGAAGGCCUGACAAAGGGCUCCGCCAGCCCGACAUGCGGCUCUGGAGACAGAUGAGCCAUCAGAAUGGGCUCAGAUCAGACCUUUAUACCCGGUGCAGAGCAGCCCCUGGAUGAGGCUGCCCCUGGAAGGAGGUGUGGCCUUGGACAGGUCGUUUUCUUCUGCUGAGGCAGUCCUCAAAGAGGAUCUCUCAGGAGCCUGUGGACCCUGAGAAGAUGAAGAAGCCCUGUGUUGCACCUAUUUUGCUGAUAAGAUGAGUAAACCAAGGCUCAGAGAGGAGAAGAAAUUUGCUCAAAACCAUGCUGUACUGAGCUGGGAUGGGAAUCUGGCCCCAAAGCCCUCUCUGGACUCUGCCUUCUGUCGUGCGCACAAGAGGAAUGGUGUUGGAGACGUGGAAAGGAAGGCUUUGGUGUUUGGAUCUGGGCUUCCUUCUUGAGAAAUUAGCUGCACGCUGUCCAUUCUCUUUUGCCUCCUCUCCAGGGUUCCCUGAGCCACACCUGGUGUGGUCACAAUUGCAAAGAGGCCCGGGAGGGUCCUGGAGGUUCCCAGGACUGAAGCUGUCCCCUUUCAGCCUGGGCGCCCCUGUGUGGACUUGAUGGGGACCUCUUGUCUGACGGAGCCCGUGUGGUUCUCGUGCAAUGAUGGGAACCAGGGGCUGCGGAGGGAAGAGCAAAGGAGCACGCUGGUGUCCCUCGGACCCAAGUUCAGGCUCUGUCACUUCACGUGACUUCAAACAAGUGGCUCUACCUUUCUGAGGCUGUUUUCCCAGCUGUACAAUGGGCUCAUAACACCGACCUAUCUCUCAGGGUUACCAAGAGGGGAAGUAGAUGAAGGUACGUAAGGGCCCAUCCCACUCACCCCUGGCUCACUGUUGGUGCUCGGAAGCACUGGAGAACAGACUCCCUAGGCUCACCAGCUCUGCCUCUCACCAGCCAAGGACCCAUGGAGGAAUGCAUCUCCCAAGGCCGCAUUUCCACAUCUAUAAAAUGGGACCUUUGCUUCUACCCCACAGUGUUUGGGGAGCAGAUUCAUUGAGAAGAGGUCACAGAACUUGUAGUCAUUCACCCUAGACUGCUGGAGUCACUCUCCUCCAUCUCUUCAACAUGAGCUUCACUCAUGGAAAGGGUCAAUCAACAAACUGUUACCACGUGUCUCUCCCGGGCUGGGUCAUGCACUGGAUGCUGAGGGAUGAGCCAGACACAGUCCUGCCCUUGAAGACUCAGGACGGCAUACCGUCAGCAUCAUGACUAGAAAGCAUCGAAGAAAACGUAACGAAAUAAGCUCAUACUCUGUUUCUAAAGUUUGGGACUGUGCUUUCUUUGUUUGGCCUACAUCCCCUCUGUGACUCUACAUCGACAAAACUUAAACCUGGAAAACAGGCGUCUGAGAUUAGGCACAAAAUGGUGAGAUCGUAUACCUCCAAAUUUGUUCAUGCAUUUUGGAUAGUCCCAGUUCCAAUGUUCUAUGCCAACAAUGAGCGUGCUGGGAGCAGCGCAGGUUGUUAAAAGUGCUUGCCAAACAUACUUCUAGAGCUAACCCCGUCAGGGGAGAAAAAGAAAUAGCAUUCCAGCACAUUGGCUUGAAAGCAACUUACCCAAUGGUUGGCCCUCAAAUGUUUCUCAUUAAGUAUCUUCCCCGAGGGCAGGGGACUAUUCAUUCCUUAAUUUUCAGCCUCCAGCUCAGCAUCUACCGGUAUUA
Equus caballus (horse) is the source of this 1808-nucleotide long non-coding RNA. The record is from Ensembl. NCBI's taxonomy places the organism in Eukaryota, Metazoa, Chordata, Mammalia, Perissodactyla, Equidae.